This 500-nucleotide ribosomal RNA is filed under the name uncultured microorganism. RNAcentral describes it as "bacterial SSU rRNA". It matches the Rfam family "Archaeal small subunit ribosomal RNA", at positions 234 to 734 of the family's 1478-position model. The record is from RNAcentral.
UGGUGGGGUAACGGCCCACCAAGCCGAAGAUCCGUACGGGCCAUGAGAGUGGGAGCCCGGAGAUGGACCCUGAGACACGGGUCCAGGCCCUACGGGGCGCAGCAGGCGCGAAACCUCCGCAAUGCGGGAAACCGCGACGGGGUCAGCCGGAGUGCUCGCGCAUCGCGCGGGCUGUCGGGGUGCCUAAAAAGCACCCCAUAGCAAGGGCCGGGCAAGGCCGGUGGCAGCCGCCGCGGUAAUACCGGCGGCCCGAGUGGCGGCCACUUUUAUUGGGCCUAAAGCGUCCGUAGCCGGGCUGGUAAGUCCUCCGGGAAAUCUGGUCGCUUAACGAUCAGACUGCCGGAGGAUACUGCCAGCCUAGGGACCGGGAGAGGCCGGGGGUAUUCCCGGGGUAGGGGUGAAAUCCUGUAAUCCCGGGAGGACCACCUGUGGCGAAGGCGCCCGGCUGGAACGGGUCCGACGGUGAGGGACGAAGGCUAGGGGCACGAACCGGAUUAGAU